This 409-nucleotide unclassified non-coding RNA is filed under the name uncultured Funneliformis. RNAcentral describes it as "sequence contains 28S rRNA gene". The record is from RNAcentral. Lineage: Eukaryota; Fungi; Glomeromycota; Glomeromycetes; Glomerales; Glomeraceae.
AGUUAAACAGUACGUGAAAUUGUUGAAAGGGAAACGAUUGAAGUCAGUCAUACUAACGGGAAAUCAACCUCUUGAGUUUGGUCUCGUGGGUUUCGAAGAGUUUAAAAGCCUUCGGAUUUUCGAGAUUGGGCUCUUCUGGUGUACUUUCUCGUACGGUUAGUCAACAUCGGUUUUGAAUGUCAUAAAAUGACUGGAGGAAUGUGGCUUCGAUCUCGUAUUGAAGUGUUAUAACCUUUGGUAGAUGUGAUGUUUGAGACCGAGGAUUGCAACGGAUACCCUUCUGGGCUAUUCGUCUGAUCUCUGAAACGUUGCCUUGAUGUCGAAAGCUUGCUUAUGAUGUUUAGGGUAUUACGGUCAAAAGGUUAGAACGGAUUAAAUUCGUUAAGGAUGUUGACGUAAUGACUUUAAA